RNAcentral lists this non-coding RNA (26 nucleotides) under Homo sapiens (human). Lineage: Eukaryota; Metazoa; Chordata; Mammalia; Primates; Hominidae. The record is from RNAcentral.
UCCAGUGCAUUGCUAACGAAGAUGGA